UACGGAGGGCGCGAGCGUUAAUCGGAAUUACUGGGCGUAAAGCGCGCGUAGGCUGUUGUGUAAGUUGGGGGUGAAAUCCCACGGCUCAACCGUGGAACAGCCCUUGAUACUGCGCGACUUGAAUCCGGGAGAGGGUGGCGGAAUUCCAGGUGUAGGAGUGAAAUCCGUAGAUAUCUGGAGGAACAUCAGUGGCAAAGGCGGCCACCUGGACCGGUAUUGACGCUGAGGCGCGAAAGCGUGGGGAGCAAACAGG
Molecule: ribosomal RNA, 253 nt
Filed under: uncultured bacterium
Lineage: Bacteria
Description: partial 16S ribosomal RNA
Rfam family: Bacterial small subunit ribosomal RNA
Source: RNAcentral